Molecule: non-coding RNA, 286 nt
Organism: Pelobates cultripes (western spadefoot toad)
Lineage: Eukaryota; Metazoa; Chordata; Amphibia; Anura; Pelobatidae
Source: the annotation of a GenBank genome assembly
ACAUAUAGAAAAGAUAACUCUGUUCCACAGAGUAGCUGUUAACAUUAUAGUUGUGCAGGCACUUUGUUGACUCUAGAGAACCUUGGGCCAAUUGCACAUCCCCGUGGCGGCGACUUUGCAUGCGGAUGUCAUCCAUAUCAACUUUCGAUGCCAGUUUCUGCGCCUACCAUGGUGACCAUGGGUAACGGGGAAUCAGAGUUCCAUUCCGCAAAGGGAUCCUUAGAAACGGCUACCACAUGCAAGGAAGGCAGCAAAUGACCCACUUCCAACACGGGAAGGUAGUGAU